RNAcentral lists this long non-coding RNA (933 nucleotides) under Astyanax mexicanus (Mexican tetra). RNAcentral's name for it is "lncRNA (ENSAMXG00005005689.1)". The record is from RNAcentral. Lineage: Eukaryota; Metazoa; Chordata; Actinopteri; Characiformes; Acestrorhamphidae.
UCCUGUGAGAAAUAUCGAAUUUACGAGACACAGAAAUAGCAUCUGAAGUGAGAGAAGCAUGCAGACUCAUGUUAUAGAGGAAUAUUACAGGAUUUUACACUGUCUGACGGUUUUGCCGUGGAGAGAGGUCUCGUGCAACAUUGAUAAGUAAAACUUGAAGAUGACUGGGAUGGACAAAGCCAUGACAGGACCAACCUGUAACAGAGUGGACAAGAACAUAAGAAAUGAAGGGUUUAAACAGAACUGGACCAGUGGAGAAAUAAACCAGUGCAGAACUAAACCAGUGCAGAACUGGACCAGUGCAGAACUAAAGCAGUGCAGAACUAAACCAGUGCAGAACUGGACCAGUGCAGAACUAAAGCAGUGCAGAACUGGACCAGUGCAGAACUAAAGCAUUGCAGAACUGGACCAGUGCAGAACUAAAGCAGUGCAGACUGAUGCUUCCAGUGCUGCUCAUCCAAGUGAGUUUUCAAAAAAUACCUUCACAAUUCUUCACUGUACACUGUAGUUGUAGAUGCAGUUGAUGGUGUACUUUUUACUGUAGGUAUAGUUAAACAUAAUUUUGGGUGUCUGUUUACAUAUACUUUGUUGCAAUUAUUUUGUUUUGUAAUCAGCCCAACCCCUUUUUAUAUAUAUCUAGAUACAUGCAGCUCCCUUUUUCAUAUGCUGCAAUCUGUGCGAGACGGACGUAACGUUUGUAUCUGUAUCUGUAAUCAUAGUUUUCAUAUCUAUUUUCAUAUUUAGAGCGGUAGAUAUACCUAAUUUUCCAUGUCUGUAGCUGUGAAUGCAAUUGUAAUUUUAUUAAAUAAUACUGUACACUGAUAAAAAAAGAAAGAAACCAAUCCUAGUAAUUCUCUGUCAUGUUCAGCUGACAGAAGGGUGGGUAGGUAGAAGCUGUAUUUGAUAGUGCUAUAUCAGUGAUAUGUAAAAUCA